AUACCGUAUAACAAUCGAAACCGCAUGGUUUUGAUUUGAAAGGCGCUUUCGGGUGUCGCUGAUGGAUGGACCCGCGGUGCAUUAGCUAGUUGGUGAGGUAACGGCUCACCAAGGCCACGAUGCAUAGCCGACCUGAGAGGGUGAUCGGCCACAUUGGGACUGAGACACGGCCCAAACUCCUACGGGAGGCAGCAGUAGGGAAUCUUCGGCAAUGGACGAAAGUCUGACCGAGCAACGCCGCGUGAGUGAAGAAGGUUUUCGGAUCGUAAAACUCUGUUGUUAGAGAAGAACAAGGAUGAGAGUAACUGUUCAUCCCUUGACGGUAUCUAACCAGAAAGCCACGGCUAACUACGUGCC
This 357-nucleotide ribosomal RNA is filed under the name Enterococcus faecium. Its description in RNAcentral is "bacterial SSU rRNA". It matches the Rfam family "Bacterial small subunit ribosomal RNA", at positions 166 to 509 of the family's 1533-position model. Lineage: Bacteria; Bacillati; Bacillota; Bacilli; Lactobacillales; Enterococcaceae. The record is from RNAcentral.